This 478-nucleotide ribosomal RNA is filed under the name uncultured bacterium. RNAcentral describes it as "partial 16S ribosomal RNA". It matches the Rfam family "Bacterial small subunit ribosomal RNA", at positions 28 to 507 of the family's 1533-position model. The record is from RNAcentral.
GAUGAACGCUGGCGGCGUGCUUAACACAUGCAAGUCGAACGGGAAUUCUUUUAUUGAACCUUCGGUCGAUUUAAUUUAAUUCUAGUGGCGGACGGGUGAGUAACGCGUGGGUAACCUGCCUUAUACAGGGGGAUAACAGUCAGAAAUGGCUGCUAAUACCGCAUAAGCGCACAGAGCUGCAUGGCUCAGUGUGAAAAACUCCGGUGGUAUAAGAUGGACCCGCGUUGGAUUAGCUGGUUGGUGGGGUAACGGCCCACCAAGGCGACGAUCCAUAGCCGGCCUGAGAGGGUGAACGGCCACAUUGGGACUGAGACACGGCCCAGACUCCUACGGGAGGCAGCAGUGGGGAAUAUUGCACAAUGGGGGAAACCCUGAUGCAGCGACGCCGCGUGAAGGAAGAAGUAUCUCGGUAUGUAAACUUCUAUCAGCAGGGAAGAUAGUGACGGUACCUGACUAAGAAGCCCCGGCUAACUACGUG